RNAcentral lists this ribosomal RNA (433 nucleotides) under uncultured bacterium. Its description in RNAcentral is "partial 16S ribosomal RNA". It matches the Rfam family "Bacterial small subunit ribosomal RNA", at positions 29 to 507 of the family's 1533-position model. The record is from RNAcentral.
AACGAACGCUGGCGGCAUGCCUAACACAUGCAAGUCGAACGAGACCUUCGGGUCUUGUGGCGCACGGGUGCGUAACGCGUGGGAACCUGCCCUUAGGUUCGGAAUAACUCCCCGAAAGGGGUGCUAAUACCGGAUAAUGUCUUCGGACCAAAGAUUUAUCGCCUUUGGAGGGGCCCGCGUUGGAUUAGCUAGUUGGUAGGGUAAAAGCCUACCAAGGCGACGAUCCAUAGCUGGUCUGAGAGGAUGAUCAGCCACACUGGGACUGAGACACGGCCCAGACUCCUACGGGAGGCAGCAGUGGGGAAUAUUGGACAAUGGGCGAAAGCCUGAUCCAGCAAUGCCGCGUGAGUGAUGAAGGCCUUAGGGUUGUAAAGCUCUUUUACCCGGGAUGAUAAUGACAGUACCGGGAGAAUAAGCUACGGCUAACUCCGUG